Molecule: ribosomal RNA, 379 nt
Filed under: uncultured cyanobacterium
Lineage: Bacteria; Bacillati; Cyanobacteriota
Description: bacterial SSU rRNA
Rfam family: Bacterial small subunit ribosomal RNA
Source: RNAcentral
CGAAAGCCUGACGGAGCAACGCCGCGUGAGGGAUGAAGGCCUCUGGGCUGUAAACCUCUUUUAUCAAGGAAGAAGAUCUGACGGUACUUGAUGAAUAAGCCACGGCUAAUUCCGUGCCAGCAGCCGCGGUAAUACGGGAGUGGCAAGCGUUAUCCGGAAUUAUUGGGCGUAAGGCGUCCGCAGGCGGCCUUGUAAGUCUGUCGUCAAAGCGUGGAGCUUAACUCCAUUUAAGCGAUGGAAACUGCAAGGCUAGAGUGUGGUAGGGGCAGAGGGAAUUCCCGGUGUAGCGGUGAAAUGCGUAGAUAUCGGGAAGAACACCAGUGGCGAAGGCGCUCUGCUGGGCCAUAACUGACGCUCAUGGACGAAAGCCAGGGGAGCG